This 198-nucleotide small RNA is filed under the name Arabidopsis thaliana (thale cress). Its description in RNAcentral is "ATSL000070". The record is from RNAcentral. Lineage: Eukaryota; Viridiplantae; Streptophyta; Magnoliopsida; Brassicales; Brassicaceae.
GUUUUAAAAAGCUGCUACGUACAUAGAUAAAACUAGGAAGGUAUGGGGUGUAAUUCUACUAUAUUAUUUAGGAAAUACAUUUUAAAUAUAACCUUAUUUUUUGUAAGUAAUUACAUAGGUAUGCCAUUAGAAAUAAAAUUUUAAAGAGUAAAUUAAUUCAUUUCUUUAAAAAUUAAAAAGUCAAAUACUAAUUUAAUU